AGGACGAACGCUGGCGGCGUGCUUAACACAUGCAAGUCGAACGGUGAAGGAGAGCUUGCUCUCCGGAUCAGUGGCGAACGGGUGAGUAACACGUGAGUAACCUGCCCUUGACUCUGGGAUAAGCGUUGGAAACGACGUCUAAUACCGGAUACGAGCUUCAGCCGCAUGGCUAGGAGCUGGAAAGAAUUUCGGUCAAGGAUGGACUCGCGGCCUAUCAGCUAGUUGGUGAGGUAAUGGCUCACCGAAGGCGACGACGGGUA
Molecule: ribosomal RNA, 260 nt
Filed under: uncultured soil bacterium
Lineage: Bacteria
Description: partial 16S ribosomal RNA
Rfam family: Bacterial small subunit ribosomal RNA
Source: RNAcentral